Molecule: unclassified non-coding RNA, 2047 nt
Filed under: Actinia tenebrosa (Australian red waratah sea anemone)
Lineage: Eukaryota; Metazoa; Cnidaria; Anthozoa; Actiniaria; Actiniidae
Description: eEF1AKMT4-ECE2 readthrough transcript protein-like, transcript variant X3
Source: RNAcentral
AAUCGAUUCUUAAACUAUGAAAAGGCUUAUUGGACAGUUACCUAUAUGGGAUUAAUGAAAAGCUGUACAAUUAUUCUAUUUAUUAGUGCAAUACAUAACUAGAAUUAUAAUAUGAAAAGGAGGUCGUGACAGAGUCAAAAACAAAAACAAUCAAAACUCGACAAAACAAAACCAAACAAGAAAAAAAAACACGAGGCUUUCAGACGAUCGUCGCUCAUUUGAAUAACAAACAUUGACUUGGUAAGAAGAUGGCUAGAUGGCACAGUUCCAAAAAGAACAGUUUAUGAAUAUUUUCUUUUAUUAUUCUUAUGUACAUAAAACACGUGAUCAUAAACGAUAUAAUAGACAGGUUUUGAGGGUCGUGAGCGAACCAAACUACACGAGGUUUAGUACUGCAAUUGCAACAGCUAGUAGCCAUGGAAUUUGAAGAUUCCAGUGAAGUGAUGUUCAAAGAGAAUCCCCGAAGCAAAAUUAAUCGCAUAAAGAUUGGUUUAGCUCUAGUCUUGGUUUUUUGUUUUCUUCUGCUAAUUGUAUGCGUAGUACUAGCAGUAUUGUAUUCACAAGAGCUUAACAAAUCGUAUAUUGAUGCAACGCCUGGCAGUCAAAAAGUGAAGAAGUACGAGAUAUGCGAAGAGGAGCAGUGUCUUCUGCUUGGCCUGGAAAUGGUACGAAACAUGAAUAAGAGCGUCGAUCCCUGCGAAGACUUCCAUGCCUAUGCGUGUGGUGGUUGGAAAAGCAGACAUCCCUUGAAGUACACAAUGAGACAAACAACGAUGGACGUCAUGAGGGACAAAAACGCCCACUUCAUCAAAACAGCUUUGAAAUGGGCUGAUCUGAUUUAUUCAAAGAACGACGCUGUGAUGAAAAUGGUACGUGUGUACGACUCUUGUAUGAACACCACCGCAAUAGAUGUCCUAGGAUUACAGCCUCUCAAAGAUUUGAUCGAAGAAUAUGGUGGAUGGAGCAUUUCACAGAACUACAACCCAGAUGUUACCGUAGCUCAACGAAUUGGCAGAGCUGCACGUGGACUGAAUAUUGACUCUUUGUUUGGCUUGGAUGUGCAACCUAAUCCGUUCGAUUCUGAUAUGAAUGUGCUAAUGUUAAAAGAGUCGGCCUUAGGACUUAACAAAAGAGACUAUUUGGAUCUUGACGACAACAGUGAAAAGAAACGCAAAGAAUACAAAAACUACAUGAAAGCUGUGAGCCAAAUGUUUAAUGCGUCUUACGCUAAAAUGGAGGCAAUAUAUGACUUCGAAGUAAAACUGGCAAAGGGGCCUGUGCUAAAGGAGGUUUUAGAUGUUCUGUUUGACAGGCAGUUUACUGGAAAUGAACCAAUAUUUCCUAUGCCUAAAAACAUAGUCUUCUUUAAAGAAAUUAGUCUGUUGUAUAGCAAAACCAAUCACGCACUUAUAGCUGACUACAUCAUGUGGCAAAUUGUACGUCAAUACGUUGGUGCUCUUCCCGAUCAAUACCGACCUGCAACUGGAGAUUUUUUGAUUAACACCGUUAUACCACGAUGGCAGCAGUGCAUCCGUGUCAUGUUUAAACCCUUUGACAUGCCACUCGGCCUACUGUACGUGAGCGUAAAUUUCAAUGAGUAUGCAAGAUUUAAGAUCAUAGAAAUGAUUGAAAACGCCCGAACUUCAUUUAUCCAGAAACUACCAACUCAAACUUGGAUGGACAAAGAAACUCAGGAGAAGGCAAAGGAAAAGGCGCUGGCAAUCGCCAUUGGGGAAAUUGGAUAUCCAGCGUACAUCAAGGAUCCUGCGAAACUCAAGGCACAGUAUGAUUCGCUCAAAGUAACAGACAGUCUGAUGGACAACAUGAAAGCUGCCAAUCAUUUUCUCAGAAUGAGAACUUUAAAAAAAUUCGAGCGUCCAGUGGACAAAAAAGAGUAAGAAAAGCCUUUUCAUCAUCAUGGGUACUUAGUCCUGCCAGUGUGAAUGGUUACUACAGUCCUUUUCAAAAUGGAAUAGUUCUUUUGGCUGGAAUUCUUCAACCACCGUAUUACAGCCCUGAUUAUCCGAGGUACAUAAAUUAUGGUGGU